GUGUUAAUAUAUUCAGAAGAACUGUAUCUCCAGUUCCUUUGUUUGUUUUUUGCUGGUUCGUGAAUAAUGGCUGGACGACAUCUCGCGUUCAACUCGUCUUCAACUCCUCUCUGCGGUCAGCAACUUUCCCCCAGUCCGCAGACAGACGAGAAGAAACUGCUGAAUGCUCUCAGUGGAUUGUCUCGUCAACUCCAACAACAAACUGCCGAUAUCAAUGAGCGGUUCGCUCAACUGGAGAGUUCGGUACUCUCCAGGUUGCUGUCCAUAGAGGAGAGGUUGGCGGCUCUGGAGGAACUGACUCAAAGAAGAGGAGACAGGCGCACAAUCCCAAGAUAGCGGAAGCGGUGCGCCGUCUUCACAACUCUGAGACGAAUUACAGGCGCUACGAACCGGAGCAAGGACUAAUCUCGCCUCAUAAUGAGGCGGUGACCUCGUAUUUGCUCCGGGAAAUAUCUGCAAGUCCAGAUUUCGAUUUAGAUAAAGACGUCAUUGUGUCCGCCUGUAAGAUGUAUUUUGAGACGGUAUGCAGGAGCUUCAGGUUUUCCCAGCCGGAACACUCAUUGCGGGCAGAAGGUGCGAAGAAUUCAGCGCGGAGUCGAGCGAGAAGAAAGAGGGUAAGAGUUUAUUUGCUUACUUUUUUCAGAUGCAUUGAUAGAUGUGUUGUGUGCAUCGCAUCGCACAGUACUGAUUCAUUGUUGUAUUUACAGCCGCUGGAAUCGAGACAAACAGCGUGGUUACAUGGGUUCGAAUAACUGGCUUAGUCGGACUGAAAUCGAAUUAUCCGUUUCAUGUAAACACCUUUGUCCGACUAUGUGCGGUCCGACUACAAUCCGACUAACACUCCUGGAUAACUCGAUCUGAUCCAGUUGAUAGUUUGACUUUUGCGGCAUGUAACGGUGAAUCGGAUAAGGAACUGGACUUUGCGUCUUUGCUCAUGCUUGAGAUCCCGACGGCGUCUUCUCUCCGUUAUCAAAUCAGCCGAUAGCGCCAUUCGCAUCCGCUGUACUCCUAUUAACAUCAUGCAAAAAUAGUAGAGGGAUGUAGCUUCACCUUGCUCUCUGUUUGCCAUCUUUCGCAUAAUGUUGAUGUUGUUGUUGGUUGUUGUUGGUAGUGGUGAAGAGGUCAAGCGAAAAUGGCUGUAUCACAACUAGUUGUAAUGAAAACAGCGCCACCUAUCGUAUCGGAUAUGACAUGCUUUCGGCCAAUGAUUAAAUUUAUUCACUGCCAUGUAUAUUGGGAUAAUAGCACUUGCCCCAAAAGAUAGCACAGUCCGACUAAGCAAAGAUUCAAAUUAUACCAUCAUGUAAACACUCACUGUGUGCUGGCUGAUGACGAGGUGGAACUCUGGAAAUCUGCCACCGUAGCGCUCAUGUCAGACGAAGAGGAUGGC
Gasterosteus aculeatus aculeatus (three-spined stickleback) is the source of this 1390-nucleotide long non-coding RNA. The record is from Ensembl. NCBI's taxonomy places the organism in Eukaryota, Metazoa, Chordata, Actinopteri, Perciformes, Gasterosteidae.